RNAcentral lists this ribosomal RNA (468 nucleotides) under uncultured bacterium. Its description in RNAcentral is "partial 16S ribosomal RNA". It matches the Rfam family "Bacterial small subunit ribosomal RNA", at positions 28 to 507 of the family's 1533-position model. The record is from RNAcentral.
GAUGAACGCUGGCGGCGUGCUUAAUACAUGCAAGUCGAACGGAAAGGCGAGGCGCUUGUGGGGCGCUUGUGUGGCGAACGGGGGAGUAACACGCGAGUAACCUGUACCUGUCAUUGUGAUAACUCUAGGAAAAAGGGGCUAUUACAGGAGAGGAUCUCUUGCUGCGCGGGGGGGGAUGGAGAAAGACGGUGGUGGGGGAUGGUCUCGAUGCUUAUGAGCUGCAUUGUGUGGUAGGUACUUACAAAGGCUAUGACGGAUAGGCGGCCUGAGAGGGUGACCGGCCACAAUGGGACUGAGAUACGGCCCAGUCUCCUACGUGCCGCAGCAGUGGGGAAUAUUGCACAGUGGGCGGAAGCCUGAUGCAGCAACGCCGCGUGCGUGAUGACCGCCUUCGAGUUGUAAACCGCUUUCGCCUGUGACGAAGCGUGAGUGACGGUAAUGGGUAAAGAAGCACCGGCUAACUACGUG